UCCUUCCGCCUUGUUGUCUUCCUCCCUGAAGUUGUCCCGCGCAGCUCCUGUUUGCUGGUGUUCCCGGGUCACUGGGGUUCUACUCCGUGUUCGUAGAGGUUGGUGCGGGAGUGGAAGAGGGGCCCCACGGACGUCGGAGGACUGGGAGCCGGCGGGAGCCCCAUGUGGUGGGAGCAGAGACGUCCUGGGGUCUUGGCGGCGGAUGCUGACGUGCAGGUAUAAUUAUGGAGUCCUCUGUGUUUCCAAGAGCAAAGAGAAUGAAUACAUUUCCUAAAUGUGCUGUUACAGGUGUUGAUGUCAUUUGAGGAUGUGGCUGUGGACUUCACCUGUGAGGAGUGGCAAGUCCUGGAUGAUGCCCAGAGGAACCUGUACAGGGAAGUGAUGCAGGACACCUACAGAAGCCUGUUGUCCCUAGCUCCUGAAGCCAAGCUGUUGUCAUUCUUCAGAGGACCUGGCUGAGAAGUUUUGCGAAGUCCUACAAUAUUUCCCAUUAACAGGGUUCUGCAUCACCAAACCUGAGGUGAUCUGCAGAUUGGAGCAAGGAGCAGAGCCAUGGACAGAUGAAUCCCCAACACAGAGCUUCCCAGGCAGAGCAACACAGAGAGAGAGAGAGAAAGCACGAUCUUCCAUCUGUUCUUUCACUGCCUAAAUGCCUGCAGCAGCCAAGGCUGGGCCAUGGUGAAGCCAGGAGCCAGGAAUUCCAUGUGGAUCUCCUAUGUAGAUGACAGGGGCCUAGACACUGGAGAUGUCAUCAACUGCAUAAGAGAAUAUACAAACGGGAAAAAAAGCAUGAAUGUAUUGAAUGUGGGAAAGCUUAUCACCACAGAUGAGCCUUCAUCAUACAUUGGAGAUCUCACACAGGGGAAAGACCUUUUGAAUGUGAUUUUUGUGGGAAAGCCUUCUCCAGACAUUUCAACCUUAAGAAACAUCAGAAAAUGCACACAAGGGAAAACCGUCAUGAGUGUGCCAAGAGUUUGUGCAUGGAAGGAGACCUCACUUUCCAUCAGAGAACUCACACAGAGGAAUAACCUUAUAAAUGUGAUGAAUGUGGAAAAACGUUCUCCAAGAAGGGAGGCCUCACGUUCCAUUAGAGAACACACACAGGGGAACAGCCUUACAAAUGUGAUGAAUGUGGAAGAACCUUCACCAGGAAGGGAGACCUCAGUUUCCAUCAGCGAACUCACAUAGGGGAAAAAGCUUAUGUGUGUAGUUGCUGUCAAAAGCCCUUUUACUGGAAGUCACAUCUCAUUGCACAUCAGAGAACUCACACAGGGGAGAAGCCUUAGGAGUGUAAUAUUUGUGGACAGGCCUUUUACCGAAAGACAGACAUCAAGCAUCACGGAACACAAAAGGGGGGAAGGCAUUAUGAAUGUAAUGAAUGUGGAAAAGUCUUUUGCAAGCAGAUACAUUUCAGGACACAUCAGAGGACUCACACAGGUGAGAAAACAUAGUAUGGAGAAUUGCUGCAAAUUCACCUCAACAGGCAUCAGUCCUCACAGAGGAAAAACCUUAUGGACAUAAUGACUGUGGAAGAGCUUUGCCGGGACCCACAUUUCAUCAAGUGUAGAGGAACUCACACAGGGGAAUUAGCCCUGGAUGGCUGAGACAGGCUAUGUGUUCUGGAAAUUCUACCUCUUGGACAUGCAUCCUAUGUUUUCAGCCUCCUUGUUCUGUGGGUAGGAUCAUGUCACUGAGCUCUGCUUUCACUUUUUUUAUUUGUGGAAAUAAACAUUCAGUCUGUAACACCUGCCUGUUUGAAAUAACAUCUUAAUCAUCAAUCAGAUUAUUUGGAACAGA
This is a non-coding RNA of Oryctolagus cuniculus (rabbit), 1797 nucleotides long. NCBI's taxonomy places the organism in Eukaryota, Metazoa, Chordata, Mammalia, Lagomorpha, Leporidae. The record is from RefSeq and is a predicted model, not a curated record.